This 443-nucleotide small RNA is filed under the name Pongo abelii (Sumatran orangutan). Its description in RNAcentral is "retained intron". The record is from RNAcentral. Lineage: Eukaryota; Metazoa; Chordata; Mammalia; Primates; Hominidae.
AAACUCCCCACCAAACUCCUCCCCACCCAGAGAACCCCCAGUCCUCCCCUUCCUCCUGAAGGCCUGAGGCUCCCUGUGACCCUUCCCCACCUCUCGCAGGUACGGGUUGAUGCGUGAGUGCUGGCACGCGGCACCCUCCCAGAGGCCUACCUUCAAGCAACUGGUGGAGGCGCUGGACAAGGUCCUGCUGGCCGUCUCUGAGGAGUACCUCGACCUCCGCCUGACCUUCGGACCCUAUUCCCCCUCUGGUGGGGACGCCAGCAGCACCUGCUCCUCCAGCGAUUCUGUCUUCAGCCACGACCCCCUGCCACUGGGAUCCAGCUCCUUCCCCUUCGGGUCUGGGGUGCAGACAUGAGCAAGGCUCAAGGCUGUGCAGACACAUAGGCUGGUGGCCUUGGGCCUUGGGGCUCAGCCACAGCCUGGCACAGUGCUUGACCUUGGCA